ACCUGGCUGGCUCAGUCAGUAGAGCAUGGGACUCUUGAUCUCAGGGUUGUAAGUCCAUGCCCUAUGCUGGGUG
This 73-nucleotide transfer RNA is filed under the name Felis catus (domestic cat). It matches the Rfam family "tRNA". From Rfam's summary of the family: Transfer RNA (tRNA) molecules are approximately 80 nucleotides in length. Their secondary structure includes four short double-helical elements and three loops (D, anti-codon, and T loops). The record is from Rfam by way of RNAcentral. Lineage: Eukaryota; Metazoa; Chordata; Mammalia; Carnivora; Felidae. RNAcentral also lists the same sequence under 3 other names.